Molecule: ribosomal RNA, 305 nt
Filed under: uncultured bacterium
Lineage: Bacteria
Description: bacterial SSU rRNA
Rfam family: Bacterial small subunit ribosomal RNA
Source: RNAcentral
UGAGUCCUACGGGACGCAGCAGUGGGGAAUAUUGCACAAUGGGGGAAACCCUGAUGCAGCGACGCCGCGUGAGUGAAGAAGCGUUUCGGCGCGUAAAGCUCUGUCAGCGGGGAAGAAACACGGUUCGCGAGAGCCGCGGACGGUACCCGACCAAGAAGCCCCGGCUAACUACGUGCCAGCAGCCGCGGUAAUACGGAGGAUGCGAGCGUUAUCCGGAUUUAUUGGGUUUAAAGGGUGCGUAGGCGGUCCGUUAAGUCAGCGGUAAAAUUGCGGGGCUCAACCCCGUCGAGCCGUUGAAACUGGCA